UGGGGAAUAUUGGACAAUGGGCGCAAGCCUGAUCCAGCAAUGCCGCGUGUGUGAAGAAGGCCUGCGGGUUGUAAAGCACUUUCGGUGGGGAGAACGAGGCUGUUAUUAAUACUGACAGCGGAAGAUGUUACCCACAGAAGAAGCACCGGCUAACUCUGUGCCAGCAGCCGCGGUAAUACAGAGGGUGCGAGCGUUAAUCGGAAUUACUGGGCGUAAAGGGUGCGUAGGUGGUUUCGUAAGUUAGGUGUGAAAGUCCUGGGCUUAACCUGGGGAUUGCGCCUGAUACUGCGAAGCUAGAGUACUGUAGAGGAAAGUGGAAUUUCCGGUGUAGCGGUGAAAUGCGUAGAUAUCGGAAGGAACAUCGGUGGCGAAGGCGACUUUCUGGACAGCUACUGACACUGAGGCACGAAAGCAUGGGGAGCAAACAGGAUUAGAUACCCCGGUAGUCC
Molecule: ribosomal RNA, 449 nt
Filed under: uncultured bacterium
Lineage: Bacteria
Description: bacterial SSU rRNA
Rfam family: Bacterial small subunit ribosomal RNA
Source: RNAcentral